Molecule: long non-coding RNA, 295 nt
Filed under: Rhinopithecus bieti (black snub-nosed monkey)
Lineage: Eukaryota; Metazoa; Chordata; Mammalia; Primates; Cercopithecidae
Description: lncRNA (ENSRBIG00000045293.1)
Source: RNAcentral
AAUACUUCAGUAGUUAAAAUGGCUUCGAUUUUUUUUCAUUCAAAUACUAUUUUUUCUUACUAGGUACUUGAGUGACAUGAGUCUCUUAAUCAUUUGAAAGUUAAAGCCUCAUCAACCAGCCCUACAGAAUAAAGAAUAUGAAGCAUCCCAUGCUGCACUGCAUAUUCAAGGUGUCAUCUCCCAAGAGUUUUCUCCAACAAACCCUCCAGAGGCAAUGCCCAGUCUUAAGAGUAUGUUUCCAGGGAAACCAAUCUAAGGCACUGUACAAAACAGUGUGAGAGUGAUAAAAGCAGCA